This 435-nucleotide long non-coding RNA is filed under the name Carica papaya (papaya). RNAcentral describes it as "long non-coding RNA (CPAP_LNC002616)". The record is from RNAcentral. Lineage: Eukaryota; Viridiplantae; Streptophyta; Magnoliopsida; Brassicales; Caricaceae.
GAUUCAACUUCAUAAUGGGCUGGUGUAACUUCCACUUGUGUUAACGUGACCAAGUUUUGAUUUAUGUUAUUCAGCCCAAGCUCGAUACAUGCUUCCUUGUUGCAUUCUUGAAAUUUUUUCAAUGUCAUUCCACAAGCCUUGAAUCAUCCCGUUUAAUACGUUCUUAAAUUUCUUCAACUUCACUCUCUGAAUUGGAUCAAUGUUCUUGUAUACUGCCUUAUUUGCAUCAUUCCCUCCCUCCUUAAGAUGAUUCGUCCAUGAAUCUCCAACAUCUAUAUCAAAAGGAGAAAUAUCAGCUACAUUAAAAGUAACACUCACAUUAUACUCACCAGGAAGAUCCAACUUGUAGACAUUGUCAUUGAUUUUCUCAAGGACUUGAAAUGGUCCAUCGCCUCUAGUAUACAGUUUUGAUUUCCGUUGAAUAGGAAACCUUUC